This 1843-nucleotide small RNA is filed under the name Pan troglodytes (chimpanzee). Its description in RNAcentral is "retained intron". The record is from RNAcentral. Lineage: Eukaryota; Metazoa; Chordata; Mammalia; Primates; Hominidae.
UUUUAAUAUUUCUUAGUUUGAGCCCAGGUGCGGUGUCUCACGCCUGUAAUCACAGCACUUUGGGAGGCCAAGGCAGGCGGAUCACUUGAGGUCAGGAGUUCAAGACCAGCCUGCCAACGUGGUGAAACCCUGUCUGUACUAAAAAUUUAAAAAAAAAAAAAAAAAAUUAGCCGUGCGUGGUGGCAGUCGCCUGUAGUCCCAGCAACUCCAGAGGCUGAAACAGGAGAAUCGCUUGAACCCCAGAGGUGGAGGUUGCAGUGAGCUGAGAUGGUGCCACUGCACUCCAGCCUGGGCGACAGAGCCAGACUGCAUCUUGUGGGUGUAAAAAAAAAAUUUGUAGUUUGAGAGUCAACUUUUUCCUCACAGUUUCUGAAAAUGUGGCCCUUUUGAUGCUGAUGAAAGCUGGUUGUGAUUUUAACACCUUAGUAGCCAGAAUCGAGACUGUCAUGGGGACAUUUAAAAUCUCACCACACUUGACACCAUUCACAAGUAGCCAUGUGGCUCAGUCUCCUGAGUGCUCCUGCAGAGUGCAGCUCUGCCAGGCUUUUCUCUAGAUAAUCUCGUGUGUGUUACUGUAGCAGUUUGAGUUUAAACACAAGAGUUCACUCGGUUAACAUGUUCUAACCAGCAAGAUUUCUGUUGUUUGCAGGUGCCGUGAGCGAUGUGGAGAUGCAGGAACACUAUGAUGAGUUUUUUGAGGUGAGAGAAUUGAACUCUGUGACUGAUAGACCUGUUGAUCUUCUGUAUCUGUUUGGAAGGAUUUAAAAUGUUUCUCUGCUAAUAAACAUACAUGAGUUAUAUCUAAUGACACUUUGUAAUGUAUAACGAGUCUUAAACCACUGUGGUCUCCCUUCAGGAGGUUUUUACAGAAAUGGAGGAGAAGUAUGGGGAAGUAGAGGAGAUGAACGUCUGUGACAACCUGGGAGACCACCUGGUGGGGAACGUGUACGUCAAGGUAGGAGCCAGGGCGAGACGGCGGCGUGGCCGCUUAGUGUGCCGGGGCCAAGGCCGACAGAGGAUGGGGUGCCUGCCGCCGUGCACCUUGAGAUCGUGGAUGCUCAGGUGCACAGCAGGGUCGGGUGCACUGGCUCGGCGCCUACCGGCUGCGUCAUAUGUGGCGGUGGCCAGCCCGCACGUGCGCCCAGCCAGCAGAACUGAAGGACGGACCGUACACCACAGCCUCGUUAUUUCAGUGUAGAAUAUUUAGUACCUGUUGGUUAGAAGCUGUGUGGACUAAGGAAAAGUUAGGUUUACUCACAUGUUUGGUUUCUUUUUUUUUUUUUUAGUGAAUAAAACUUUAUUUGCCUACACAGCCAUAUUUGCUCCUUUAACCAGUUGAAUUUGAAAAAUGAAAGCAACAUUUGGCAAAAUCUUGGACUAUCUUGAAGUUAAUCUCAUUGAAAAUUAAAGGAUUUUUCAAUUAUCCUGUAAUACUGUUCCACCUUACUAUACCUGAGUGUGUAUAUCUCUCUCUGAUACAUACUUGGAUUGGUAAUUGAGAAAGUCUUAUUAAAGCGUGGAUGGCAAGCACUUCUGUUUUUGUCUUUUCAGUUUCGCCGUGAGGAAGAUGCGGAAAAGGCUGUGAUUGACUUGAAUAACCGUUGGUUUAAUGGACAGCCGAUCCACGCCGAGCUGUCACCCGUGACGGACUUCAGAGAAGCCUGCUGCCGUCAGUAUGAGAUGGGAGAAUGCACACGAGGCGGCUUCUGCAACUUCAUGCAUUUGAAGCCCAUUUCCAGAGAGCUGCGGCGGGAGCUGUAUGGGCGCCGUCGCAAGAAGUGAGUAUUCCUGUGCCCGUUGUUAAGCUCAGUGGCUUCUUUCUCCCCUCGCAACCCUCCCCCUU